GCCCCCAUCGUCUAGUGGCCCAGGAUCCAGGAUUCUCAGUCCUGUGACAGGGGUUCGAAUCCCCUUGGGGGUA
This 73-nucleotide transfer RNA is filed under the name Planctomycetaceae bacterium. RNAcentral's name for it is "tRNA-Glu". It matches the Rfam family "tRNA". From Rfam's summary of the family: Transfer RNA (tRNA) molecules are approximately 80 nucleotides in length. Their secondary structure includes four short double-helical elements and three loops (D, anti-codon, and T loops). Lineage: Bacteria; Pseudomonadati; Planctomycetota; Planctomycetia; Planctomycetales; Planctomycetaceae. The record is from RNAcentral.